Sus scrofa (pig) is the source of this 887-nucleotide long non-coding RNA. RefSeq lists it as uncharacterized. Lineage: Eukaryota; Metazoa; Chordata; Mammalia; Artiodactyla; Suidae. The record is from RefSeq and is a predicted model, not a curated record.
AGCAAGCAGCACUCAGGAGGCUGACAAGGAGCAACCAGGAGAACUGCACAUGGGUGGGGCAAAGGCAGUCUGGACAGGGAGAGAGCAGAGUCCUCCAGGACAGUACUUCUCACCCUUUUAGUGAGGAAGCCAGGGAGUUUUGUUUACCUGAGUUAUAUCCACUGACAUUUAUCAUAUUAGAAAUUAAAACAAAAAAUUAGACUCAAGCAGAUUCCAGUAGCUGUCAGAGGGAUGAUGUCUUCACACAUCAUGGAGCCAUGGAACAUUCUACUGUAUUCUUUUGAGAGAAUGAAGGGCAAAUGAUUUUGUUAUGAAAAUAGUUCUGGCCUUAUGGCUCCCUGGAAGGGUCUCAAGUACAUGCAGGUGGCUCUGGGCCUCACUUUGAAAACUGCUGCUGUUCCAGAGACUGACCCCAGGUGGCGCAGGGCUGAGCUGAGUGAGCACAGGGGUGGGGAGUGCCCCCAGGGUGGGGGGAGAGUCCACCUGGUGCACUUAACAAACCUGAGCUUCUUUCUCACCAGGCUCAGAUUCUGCACCUGCCUCAUUCUGGCAUGUGUCAGAGGAACAGCAGUAGUACCACAGGGCUGCCACGAGGAGUGUGCUCCAACCAAGGCAGACCUGACCUUGGCCCUCUCAGGAAGGGAGCCCAGGAGGCCUGCAGGCAACUACCGGCCAGAGGAUGGAGGCCAUUCAGCUACUCUUCUGGUGGUGUAUAGACCCAUAUGGAGCUGACACAUGGAUGUCCUGUCUCCUGGGAAGUUCAGCUUGGAAGCUCUGACCCACCAUUGAAUAGGGGAAGAAGGGCAACCAAGAACAGAGACCACUAAGCAGCUGAGCCCCAUGCACGCAGGGGACGCACGUGCUGCAGAGCUGUAACUGCAGGAAGG